CGGGUAUAGUUUAGUGGUAGAAUACCAUGCUUCCGACCUGGUUGCGAGGGUUCGAUUCCCUCUACCC
This 67-nucleotide transfer RNA is filed under the name pig gut metagenome. It matches the Rfam family "tRNA". From Rfam's summary of the family: Transfer RNA (tRNA) molecules are approximately 80 nucleotides in length. Their secondary structure includes four short double-helical elements and three loops (D, anti-codon, and T loops). The record is from RNAcentral.